GUCUCAGUUCGGAUUGUAGUCUGCAACUCGACUACAUGAAGCUGGAAUCGCUAGUAAUCGCAGAUCAGAAUGCUGCGGUGAAUACGUUCCCGGGUCUUGUACACACCGCCCGUCACACCAUGAGAGUCGGGAACACCCGAAGUCCGUAGUCUAACCGCAAGGGGGCGCGGCCGAAGGUGGGUCCGGUAAUUGGGUGAAGUCGUAACAAGGUACC
Molecule: ribosomal RNA, 214 nt
Filed under: uncultured bacterium
Lineage: Bacteria
Description: partial 16S ribosomal RNA
Rfam family: Bacterial small subunit ribosomal RNA
Source: RNAcentral